CCCUUAGAUGUUCUGGGCCGCACACGCGCUACACUGAAGGAGGCAGCGUGUACUCCUGGAUCGAAAGAUUUGGGUAACCCGCGAAUCUCCUUCGUGCUAGGGAUUGAGGUUUGCAAUUAUCCUUCAUGAACGAGGAAUUCCCAGUAAGUGCAAGUCAUAAGCUUGCGCUGACUACGUCCCUGCCCUUUGUACACACCGCCCGUCGCUACUACCGAUUGAAUGAUUUAGUGAGGACUUCGGACUGGGACCGAUGCGGCUUUCGGGCUGCGUCGGUAUUCUGGAAAGAUGUCCAAACUGUAUCAUUUAGAGGAAGUAAAANUCGUAAC
This 326-nucleotide ribosomal RNA is filed under the name uncultured eukaryote. RNAcentral's name for it is "partial 18S ribosomal RNA". It matches the Rfam family "Eukaryotic small subunit ribosomal RNA", at positions 1470 to 1795 of the family's 1831-position model. The record is from RNAcentral.